This 253-nucleotide ribosomal RNA is filed under the name uncultured bacterium. RNAcentral describes it as "partial 16S ribosomal RNA". It matches the Rfam family "Bacterial small subunit ribosomal RNA", at positions 524 to 776 of the family's 1533-position model. The record is from RNAcentral.
UACGUAGGGGGCAAGCGUUGUCCGGAUUUAUUGGGCGUAAAGAGCGUGUAGGCGGCCUGAAAGGUCAGCUGUGAAAACUCGAGGCUUAACCUCGAGACGUCGGUUGAAACCAUCUGGCUAGAGUCCGGAAGAGGAGCGUGGAAUUCCUGGUGUAGCGGUGAAAUGCGCAGAUAUCAGGAAGAACACCCGUGGCGAAGGCGGCUCUCUGGGACGGUACUGACGCUGAGACGCGAAAGCGUGGGGAGCGAACAGG